RNAcentral lists this ribosomal RNA (425 nucleotides) under uncultured bacterium. RNAcentral's name for it is "partial 16S ribosomal RNA". It matches the Rfam family "Bacterial small subunit ribosomal RNA", at positions 354 to 796 of the family's 1533-position model. The record is from RNAcentral.
GUGGGGAAUCUUGCGCAAUGGGCGAAAGCCUGACGCAGCCAUGCCGCGUGAAUGAUGAAGGUCUUAGGAUUGUAAAAUUCUUUCACCGGGGACGAUAAUGACGGUACCCGGAGAAGAAGCUCCGGCUAACUUCGUGCCAGCAGCCGCGGUAAUACGAAGGGGGCUAGCGUUGCUCGGAAUUACUGGGCGUAAAGGGCGCGUAGGCGGACAGCUUAGUCAGAGGUGAAAGCCCAGGGCUCAACCUUGGAAUUGCCUUUGAUACUGGCUGUCUUGAGUUUGGGAGAGGUGAGUGGAACUCCGAGUGUAGAGGUGAAAUUCGUAGAUAUUCGGAAGAACACCUGUGGCGAAGGCGACUCACUGGCCCAAUACUGACGCUGAGGCGCGAAAGCGUGGGGAGCAAACAGGAUUAGAUACCCUAGUAGUCC